RNAcentral lists this ribosomal RNA (429 nucleotides) under uncultured bacterium. RNAcentral's name for it is "bacterial SSU rRNA". It matches the Rfam family "Bacterial small subunit ribosomal RNA", at positions 355 to 776 of the family's 1533-position model. The record is from RNAcentral.
UGGGGAAUCUUGCGCAAUGGGCGACAGCCUGACGCAGCAACGCCGCGUGGGGGAAGACGGCCUUCGGGUUGUAAACCCCUUUCAGUUGGGACGAAGCUCGGUCGGUGAACAGCCGGCUGGAGUGACGGUACCUUCAGAAGAAGCCCCGGCUAACUACGUGCCAGCAGCCGCGGUAAUACGUAGGGGGCAAGCGUUGUCCGGAAUCAUUGGGCGUAAAGCGCGUGUAGGCGGCUCGAUAAGUCUGCUGUGAAAGUCCAAGGCUCAACCUUGGAAUGCCGGUGGAUACUGUCGAGCUAGAGUCCGGAAGAGGCGAGUGGAACUCCUGGUGUAGCGGUGAAAUGCGCAGAUAUCAGGAAGAACACCAACGGCGAAGGCAGCUCGCUGGGACGGUACUGACGCUGAGACGCGAAAGCGUGGGGAGCAAACAGG